Molecule: ribosomal RNA, 253 nt
Filed under: uncultured bacterium
Lineage: Bacteria
Description: partial 16S ribosomal RNA
Rfam family: Bacterial small subunit ribosomal RNA
Source: RNAcentral
UACGGGGGGGGCAAGCGUUGUUCGGAAUUACUGGGCGUAAAGGGCUCGUAGGCGGCCAACUAAGUCAGACGUGAAAUCCCUCGGCUUAACCGGGGAACUGCGUCUGAUACUGGAUGGCUUGAGAUUGGGAGAGGGAUGCGGAAUUCCAGGUGUAGCGGUGAAAUGCGUAGAUAUCUGGAGGAACACCGGUGGCGAAGGCGGCAUCCUGGAUCAACACUGACGCUGGGGAGCGAAAGCCAGGGGAGCAAACGGG